This 277-nucleotide ribosomal RNA is filed under the name uncultured bacterium. RNAcentral's name for it is "partial 16S ribosomal RNA". It matches the Rfam family "Bacterial small subunit ribosomal RNA", at positions 28 to 302 of the family's 1533-position model. The record is from RNAcentral.
GACGAACGCUGGCGGCGUGCUUAACACAUGCAAGUCGAGCGGGUAAGGCCCCUUUCGGGGGUACACGAGCGGCGAACGGGUGAGUAACACGUGGGUGACCUGCCCUCAGCUCUGGGGAUAAGCCUGGGAAACCGGGUCUAAUACCGGAUAUGACUCCAUGACGCAUGUUGUGGGGUGGAAAGCCUUGUGCGGCUGAGGAUGGGCCCGCGGCCUAUCAGCUUGUUGGUGGGGUGAGUGGCCUACCAAGGCGACGACGGGUAGCCGGCCUGAGAGGGCG